CCUACGGGGGGCUGCAGUCGAGAAUCAUUCACAAUGGGGGAAACCCUGAUGGUGCGACGCCGCGUGGGGGAAUGAAGGUCUUCGGAUUGUAAACCCCUGUCAUGUGGGAGCAAAUUAAAAAGAUAGUACCACAAGAGGAAGAGACGGCUAACUCUGUGCCAGCAGCCGCGGUAAUACAGAGGUCUCAAGCGUUGUUCGGAAUCACUGGGCGUAAAGCGUGCGUAGGCUGUUUCGUAAGUCGUGUGUGAAAGGCGCGGGCUCAACCCGCGGACGGCACAUGAUACUGCGAGACUAGAGUGAUGGAGGGGGAACCGGAAUGCUCGGUGUAGCAGUGAAAUGCGUAGAUAUCGAGAGGAACACUCGUGGUGAAGGCGGGUUCCUGGACAUUAACUGACGCUGAGGCACGAAGGCCAGGGGAGCGAAAGGGAUUAGAUACCCUUGUAGUC
Molecule: ribosomal RNA, 446 nt
Filed under: uncultured bacterium
Lineage: Bacteria
Description: partial 16S ribosomal RNA
Rfam family: Bacterial small subunit ribosomal RNA
Source: RNAcentral